UUGUCAUCCCAGGAAAGCAUUUCAAACAAAGAGGAAUGGUUCCCCCAUUUCAACCUCUUUCCAUGGCUUUCAGCAAUAUCAAUUACUAUGUGGAUGUCCCUUUGGAAUUGAAACAACAAGGGAUAUAAGAAGAAAGGCUACAACUGCUUGUUAAUGUUACUGGAGCUUUUAGGCCUGGAGUGUUGACAGCAUUGGUUGGAGUAAGCGGGGCUGGAAAACCACGCUAAUGGAUGUCUUGGCUGGAAGAAAAACUGGAGGUGUUGUGAAGGUAAAGAUUUUCUCCCUUCAUUUUUUGUUAUCGUUAUUAUUUAAAAAAAAAUGAAUGCGGAAUAUGCUGGAAAAAUCGGCAUGUUAUCUUGGUGAAUAUGCAAUAUUUUGCAAGAAUUAACAUCUUAAUGUUUGAAGUCUAACCCCUGCUAUUUUGAUUUUUUUUUUACUAGGUUCUUCUACAGCUAGAUCCGUUUCUCAAUGAACUCACCAUCAUGUUCGAGCGCAGCACCGAGACGGGCUCUGUUUGGGUUACACUUAAACGAUCAUCCUUGAAGCCUAAAGCUGUGAGGAAUAAAAUGGCCG
This is a non-coding RNA of Arachis ipaensis, 573 nucleotides long. The record is from RefSeq and is a predicted model, not a curated record. Lineage: Eukaryota; Viridiplantae; Streptophyta; Magnoliopsida; Fabales; Fabaceae.